GAUGAAGAACGUAGCGAAAUGCGAUAAGUAAUGUGAAUUGCAGAAUUCAGUGAAUCAUCGAAUCUUUGAACGCACAUUGCGCCCCUUGGUAUUCCGAGGGGCAUGCCCGUUCGAGUGUCAUUAUACCCCUCAAGCCUAGCUUGGUGUUGGGGCCUGCUGUUACCGGCAGCCCUUAAAAUCAGUGGCGGUGCCAUCUGGCUCUAAGCGUAGUAAUACUUCUCGCUACAGGGUCCCGGUGGAUGCUUGCCAUCAACCCCUAAUUUUCUAUGGUUGACCUCGGAUCGGGUAGGGAUACCCGCUGAACUUAAGCAUAUCAAUAAGCGGAGGA
RNAcentral lists this unclassified non-coding RNA (328 nucleotides) under soil metagenome. RNAcentral's name for it is "partial contains 5.8S ribosomal RNA, internal transcribed spacer 2, and large subunit ribosomal RNA". The stretch from base 1 to 120 matches the Rfam family "5.8S ribosomal RNA", at positions 35 to 154 of the family's 154-position model. The record is from RNAcentral.